AUUGAACGCUGGCGGCAUGCCUUACACAUGCAAGUCGAACGGCAGCACGGGUGCUUGCACCUGGUGGUGAGUGGCGAACGGGUGAGUAAUACAUCGGAACAUGUCCUGUAGUGGGGGAUAGCCCGGCGAAAGCCGGAUUAAUACCGCAUACGAUCUACGGAUGAAAGCGGGGGACCUUCGGGCCUCGCGCUAUAGGGUUGGCCGAUGGCUGAUUAGCUAGUUGGUGGGGUAAAGGCCUACCAAGGCGACGAUCAGUAGCUGGUCUGAGAGGACGACCAGCCACACUGGGACUGAGACACGGCCCAGACUCCUACGGGAGGCAGCAGUGGGGAAUUUUGGACAAUGGGCGAAAGCCUGAUCCAGCAAUGCCGCGUGUGUGAAGAAGGCCUUCGGGUUGUAAAGCACUUUUGUCCGGAAAGAAAUCCUUGGCCCUAAUACGGUCGGGGGAUGACGGUACCGGAAGAAUAAGCACCGGCUAACUACGU
This 485-nucleotide ribosomal RNA is filed under the name uncultured bacterium. Its description in RNAcentral is "partial 16S ribosomal RNA". It matches the Rfam family "Bacterial small subunit ribosomal RNA", at positions 30 to 506 of the family's 1533-position model. The record is from RNAcentral.